This is a long non-coding RNA of Lolium perenne, 722 nucleotides long. RefSeq lists it as uncharacterized. The record is from RefSeq and is a predicted model, not a curated record. NCBI's taxonomy places the organism in Eukaryota, Viridiplantae, Streptophyta, Magnoliopsida, Poales, Poaceae.
UCACUUGCAUGUUGUACUUGUGCUUACUUAGGAUGUUUCUUUACUACUAGCAUGUCUUUGUGGUUUGAGGACUUGUAAUAUUAUUUUUGACCUUUAAUUAACUUGAACUGUUUUAUUGCCAUGUAUUCCUAGCACACUAAAACUGCUUGGUUAAGCUUUUACUGAUGGAUGUAGUUGAUACUUGACUGUGCUCCAUCUUUUAAUUUAAGCUUUGUGUUUUCUCAGUAGAAAUAUGAAAAGGGACUGAAGGACACCAGGGUCUUGGGAACUUGUCUGCUCAAGAGGCAGCAAAUGUGGGUAAGAGUUUGUUCUCCCCUGAAGAAUAUCUUGUCAGCUAUAUAUGCAACUUGAAAUGUUUCCACUCUCCCAAAAUUUAGAUAAAUGAUGUGUUUAUGGCAUUCUAUGCCCAAUCUGAUGAAGGUCAGCAGACAUUCAUUUCAUAAUCUUGCUCUGGUUUCUCAGUUUGAUGCCACUUAUGUGCUUGCUUCGGACUGCUGGAGUUGCCUGCUUUCGUCUAUUCAUGUCACGAUUCUUAAUUCUCUGGCAGGCACUCUUGCCAACAAAAGCUCUAUCUAGUGGAUCGCCAAUCUGGUCAAAUGUGGAUCUAUUGUGUAAACCCCUUGUAGGUGUUGGCAAUGAUUCACUGUUAGAAUUACCCCUUUGAUUGCUUGAACAAGACGUUCUUAAGUAUGAAUCUGAUACCAGAUGAAGUUGAAACAAAA